CCUGAAUUAGAUGUGAUAUUUUAGAGAACCUGUUAUUUUUACUGAUUUGUAAUAAAAAUUAUUAAAUCAUAAUUGAUUAAAGACAUGAUGGUAAAACUAAUCUUAGGGUGAAUAACAUAAGCUUGAGAAAUAAAUUGUUUAUGUAGAUAUGACAAUAUCAUGGUAUGCUCAACCCAAAUAUACAAACUAGAAUAGGAAUAAUUAAAUUUUUAUUUAAAAAAUUGUUAUUUUAUGGCUGCACCAACUGCAUAUGAAAGUUCUCAAGCCAGGGAUUGAAUAUGAGCCACAGCUGAGACCUACACCACAGCUGCCGCCAUGCUGAUCUGCACCGGGCUAGGGAUCAAACCUGCACUUCUGCAGCAACCUGAGCCACUGUGGUCUGAACCUUAACCCACUGCACCACAGAGGGAUUCCCACAGAAUAGGAAUUCUUAAACUUUUAACUCCUGGGGAAGCAGUUUACCACUAGACAAUCAUGUAACGAUUACUGUCAUGCCUUGCCAUGAAGACAUCUAUAGAGAUGCAAAGUAAAUGCAAAUUAUUUGGUUUCUGAUGGAUGGUAGAAUAGAAAAGAAGCCAGAAAGUACAGGAAGGUGACAUAGUAAACUGUAAAAAUAUAGCGCUUGCAACCAGUUGAUCUAAAAGCUUGCUGUUUCUUGGAUGGCAGAUGAAACAGAGCAUUAAAACAAGGAUUUUUUUCCCCCAAAGGAUUAAAUUUAAAAAACAAACACAAAUGGUAACUGGAGGAGGGAAAACAAGAGGAAGCAAAAUGAGCGGAGUCAAAAUCCUGGGGGAAGAUUUUUCAUUUUGAUUUCUGUGAAUUCUGUUUAUGUUAACAUAUCAUACUCCUUGAGGGUUAAGUUUAAGCUUUUCUCUGAGAACAUUAUAAAUUACCUUAAAGUCAGCCCCUUUAGGAAAGAACUGAAUUUGUGACUGAGCUUUUUGUUUAAUUAUCACACCCUUUAUAUAAUUUUCAUCUACUUCAGUCUCAUUUUCAUACGUUUAGUGACACUUAUUUCCAAUCAGUGGUCAGAAUGUCACAGGAUGCUAGGGAGUGUACAGAUUUCCGGGUGCCACCUCCAGAUAUUCUGCUCCAGAAUAUCCCACCUUUUGGGUGGGACCCAGCCAGAUGCAAGGACUUCACAUCACCUUUUGAAAGCACUAACAUAGAAACUUAUGAACCAGGAAGGAAAUGGCUCUUUGAGUCAGAGAAUGCCAUUGAGUUUUAUGAACUCUGACCCUAUCAAAUAUACAUUUUAAAAUUUAAAUUCUUGUCCAUGGUGAUGUAUUGGAAAUAUGACAUAUUACAUGUUGGUGAAAAAAGAAUCAUAAAAUUGCUGUGAGUAGACAACUUGGCUGCUGCUAAUCAAACUUUUUAGGACAUCAAGCUGAAAGAAUGACCUAAUUCAGCUCUUUGAUUUAUAGAUGAGCCCUAUGAGGUUCAGGGAGUUGAAGUAACUUCCACAGUGUCAUGUAGUUUGCUAGUGACCGUGCAAGAUUAUUUUGCUCCUUCCAUUUGUGAUGUCACAUUUCUCUUAAAAGUCUCUGAAAAUGAUCCAGUAUUAUAAAAAGACUGAGGCUAAGCCAAGAAUCCCAUUAGCCGAUACCUUUGGCUUAUACAGAAAAAUAAGAUUAGAGAUUUAGAUAAACAUAUAUACAAACAGUCAACAAAGCAAUUCCAUGGUUACAACUAUAUACGUCUUGUCCUUCCUCUAAAUAAAUGUCAUGAACCAGGGGAUGGAGUAAUGAUAUUACGUUGUUGCAGACAUGAAAGUUGAAAACAAAAUUAUGAGGCCCUAGCAUACGCUAAAUUGGUUUUACCUUCUGAAGGAUAUUAAAUUUUACUUGAAUUUUUCAAAACUGCCCUCUCCCCUCAAAGCUCUCUGAGAAUAAGUAGUGUAUUUGAUCUGCCUUCCCUAUCAAAUAAAUCAGGAUUUUUUUGGGGGGGGUGGGGGUGGGGAGGGAGGACUGCAAAUAAUCCAACACUGACUGUGACACUGUUUAAGACAAAUAGAGAUUUUUCUGUUCACAAUUCCCUCUUUCUGGAGAUGGGGCCUGGUUGGUAUUCAUUUAGUCACUCAGAAAUAUCAAGCCUCAGGGCCAGUAUCUCUGUGAUUCUCUCCUUUCUCUCACAGUCUUACACUUGGGGUAUUGCAUUGGCAUUCAAAAUAGGGGUGAAGGGAUGGGCAAGAGUGGAUGUGGCGAGAGUAUCUGCCACGGCCUGGGUACUUGAAGGACCUCCUUUAGUUCAGCAUUGCCUGAGUACCGACUGGUUCCUCUUCUUUCUCUUCUAACCAUCACCCUUCUAGACUCCGCUGCUUUGCCUCCUACAUACACAUCACGCAGAGGGAACAUACACCCCACAGUCAGUUGGAAUCUGGGUUUCAGAAGAGUCCUUUGAUUGACAGGCCUGUAGGAAUAUGCACAGGUGCUUCUAGGACCAUAGGAAGUCUUGUUGAAUAAGCUUUCUCUGUGGAUGACCAGCCCAUCCUCUCUGCUUCUUUAAAAGAAUGAUUGAAUCUAAACAUGACACACUGAUGUUCAGGAAAAAAAAACGAGAGAGGGAACUCAGUAUCUUGAAAGCAUAUCCUAAGGCUUUUCUUCAGGUAACCUUUAUAUUGAACCAUAAAAAGAUUAAAGACACCUUCUGCUGGACUCAGGCCCUGUCAUUCAUGUUGAGAUUGUUUGGGGAAAAGAGGUGCUGACACCCUUACUAAGAGGAGUCAAGGUCUUCCAAGCAGGAAACUGGUUUGAUGACAAUAUGCUGAGUUGUCAGUUUAGCUGGUGGCUGCUGUCGGCCUCAGCAACUGGCUCUCUUUUGACUUCUGACUUUUGUGUGUGUGUCGGGGAAAUCUUAUGAGUCACAGUUAGCCUUUGCAGCCUGAUUAAGCUUGUAGGAGCCUCUGGAUUGGUGCAUAAAAUGGAUUUUGCCAACAGUUGUCUUCAGCAUCCCCACAGGAGAAAGGCGAGUUGGUUCCGAAAUGGAAACUCUAGACAAACAACUGAAGGGAAGGACACCUCUGUGUGUAAAUGCUUCCAGAUGCAGAGAGAUUUUCAUCUCAUUCUCGGCAGUUUUCCUUUUCAAGGGUUAGUGAGAAGGAAGCAUUGGAGCAAACCGCCUUGGAAUCCUUCACCCCGGUUUCCCAUCCAAGUGAUGCCAACUGACAGUGGCAAGGGGAAAACCGUGUCUAAAAAAAUAAAUCUUAAUCAACUCCCUGUAGCCUAUCAACACAUGCUUUUCGGAAGAAGAAAAAGAAGAAACGUCUGAGGAGAACAAGGCCGAGUUGGUGGAACAUCUUGAAGGGGGCUGGUCUCCUCUUAGAAAAUUAAAACGACGUGCAAGUAGCUCGGAAGAGCCUGUGGUUGCUAAGUAAAAGAACAUCAAGGAGCAACUUCAAGAUACACGUUUAAAACAAGUGUCCAAUGAUUUGGAACAUAAGUUUGUUUGGAUUGGUUUCACCCUUUGAAAGGGUUCUGAACAGAGUUAUAAAUUUUGUUUUUUAACUAAUUGGGCCAAUAACCAAAAAGAAUGCCAUUUGGCUUAUAAAAUACUCUUUGCUCCCACCCAGCAAGUCCUCCUCUUCUUGCUUCCUACCAGUCAUCCUCCCCUUCUUCUCCAGCUUCCUGUACAAAAGGUAGAGUAUGACAUCUGCCUGAAGCAAAAAUGCAAGCAUUUCAACCCAAUAAGUAAAGAAAAAGGAACAAAAGUCUGGGUAUACCAUGUUGCUCUUAUUCUCCCUGGCUGACUCCCAUUACCCCUUUCUUGUUAUUGUCAUCAUGUCUUUUAAGCAUCAGGCCCAUGGGCUCUGCUCCCGCGUGAUUUAGAAUCUGCUGAUAGUGGCUGGAAUAAAGCACAGAGAAUCUUUUAAACUGAAGGUCUAAGCUCACUGCAUUUGACCACCGUAUUCUUGGGCUUAGAUGUUUACUCAGUAAAUGAUGCUCUUCAGUGGUGGCGCCUGGGCCAUUGCCCAGCCAUGUGGAGCAGGGCGAGUGAAUGUGACUUCCCCCUUUGGAGGAGGUGUCUGCAAAUCAGAACAAAUGGGACCCUGGUGAGAAUGUUCACCUCCCAGCUCCUCUGUGCCAGGGCGGUGGAUAACAACAGGAUGUGGGUUUGAAACACGUGUAAGCUUCUUCAAGCUGCCUCUUUCAGUUUCAUUCUUUUUUUUUUUUUUUUUUAAGGCACUAGAAAAUAUAAUUCACCUAUUUAAAGCAAACAUUUUUUUCCCUUGCUACCUAUAUGUGUUGUGUCAUAGUUUUAUCCCAUAUCAGGACCUGAUUCCAUUCCCAUUUCUACAAGCCACUCAGGUAACAAUCUGUAUGUUAUGCAAAUAAAAACAUGGCAUGUUUACAGCACAGGCAGAUUAUGAUGUACACUCAAGAAGUUUCACUUUCUGUAAAUGUGGGACUAGAUUGUAUUCAUCAUCUGCUAAGGGAGUUCUACUGCUAUACCUCUGGUCUUGGUUGAUGGUUUUAAUAAACAGGACCAAAAGAUGUCCAAAGCCACAAGCAUAUGGUUGUAAAAAUUGAAGACAUUUAACUCCGAAUUAAUUUCUUUUAAAAGAAGUUGUGAGAUUUGAGCAAGCCAUAACAUUAGGAUCAAGUACGCACAUCCAUAUGCACUUUUAUCAGACUGGAAAAAAUCAGAGACUGGAGAAAAUGAGAAGGUAUUGACUCCAUUCUUUGUAUUUUCUGUUGUGAUUCCAGUCCUCACCUUCCCUUCAGUCUCCCCUUUGCUCCUCAUCUCCAUCCAUUCUUUCUUUUCUGUUAUUAGCUGUCUUUCCUGUCCCAUCUGUCUUUCCAUUUCUUUUUACCUUGCAUUCUCCUUUUCCCAUCACCCUUAGGAUACCGAGUUAAGAGAGAAUACAGAGGAUGGUCAGGAGUGGUGAGCAGAGAAAUUUUCUAGAGUUUUUUUUUUUUUUUAUCUCAAGUUUUGAGUUGUCUUUGCACUUGAAGUAGGCACAUGGUAGCCACUUCUGGUCCUAUUAUCUUGAAAAUUCGAAGUCUCUUUUCUGGUUUUUCUGUCUAAUGAAGACUUGGUUGGCUUGUGGGCUCUGUAAUUAUGCUCACUGAACAAAUACCUUGAAAGGGAAACAAUUCCAAGUCAUGUAUCAAAGAUUCAAUCUGACAUGUAUUUACUAAAUGCCUGACAUGCCUAUGCAUUUUGUUUCUUCAUUGUAACAAGAGAGAAUGAAUUCAUAUUCUGUGCUGGCACUGUGCUCUGUGUGGAAAAUGCAAAAUGAAAUAAAUCACAAAAUUCUUAACUUCAAGAAUUUAUAGGGUAAUGGAGGAGAAAAGAGUAUAAAAAGAUUAGUUUCAGGGUGACAGGAGAGUGAUCUAAUAACACAAAAUUGUAACUUUAAAAAGACAAUGCAAACCAGUUACCUCUUGCUUAAUGGAGUAGAUGGGCUACAGGAAAUUUGGCAAUAAGACAAGUUUAUAUAAAUUGAAAUAUUUUCCUACAACUCCUCUAUAGAAUUGGAAAUGUUUUCCCGCAGAAAAUCUCGAUGCAAAACUCGAGAUCACAGUAAAUACUAUAUUGUGCCUAUAUCUG
This 5550-nucleotide long non-coding RNA is filed under the name Sus scrofa (pig). RNAcentral describes it as "lncRNA (ENSSSCG00015040583.1)". Lineage: Eukaryota; Metazoa; Chordata; Mammalia; Artiodactyla; Suidae. The record is from RNAcentral.